UGGGGAAUAUUGGACAAUGGGCGAAAGCCUGAUCCAGCCAUGCCGCGUGUGUGAAGAAGGCCUUUUGGUUGUAAAGCACUUUAAGCGAGGAGGAGGCUACUUAGAUUAAUACUCUAGGAUAGUGGACGUUACUCGCAGAAUAAGCACCGGCUAACUCUGUGCCAGCAGCCGCGGUAAUACAGAGGGUGCGAGCGUUAAUCGGAUUUACUGGGCGUAAAGCGUGCGUAGGCGGCUUUUUAAGUCGGAUGUGAAAUCCCUGAGCUUAACUUAGGAAUUGCAUUCGAUACUGGGAAGCUAGAGUAUGGGAGAGGAUGGUAGAAUUCCAGGUGUAGCGGUGAAAUGCGUAGAGAUCUGGGGGAAUACCGAUGGCGAAGGCAGCCAUCUGGCCUAAUACUGACGCUGAGGUACGAAAGCAUGGGGAGCAAACAGG
Molecule: ribosomal RNA, 430 nt
Filed under: bacterium
Lineage: Bacteria
Description: partial 16S ribosomal RNA
Rfam family: Bacterial small subunit ribosomal RNA
Source: RNAcentral